RNAcentral lists this ribosomal RNA (253 nucleotides) under uncultured bacterium. Its description in RNAcentral is "partial 16S ribosomal RNA". It matches the Rfam family "Bacterial small subunit ribosomal RNA", at positions 524 to 776 of the family's 1533-position model. The record is from RNAcentral.
UACGUAGGGGGCUAGCGUUGUCCGGAAUCAUUGGGCGUAAAGAGCGUGUAGGCGGUCCGGUAAGUCCGCUGUGAAAUCUCGAGGCUCAACUUCGAGCUGUCGGUGGAAACUGUCUGGCUAGAGUCCGGAAGAGGAGAAUGGAAUUCCUGGUGUAGCGGUGAAAUGCGCAGAUAUCAGGAGGAACACCGGUGGCGAAGGCGGAUCUCUGGGCCAUUACUGACGCUGAGGAGCGAAAGCGUGGGGAGCGAACAGG